This 21-nucleotide non-coding RNA is filed under the name Caenorhabditis elegans. The record is from RNAcentral. Lineage: Eukaryota; Metazoa; Nematoda; Chromadorea; Rhabditida; Rhabditidae.
UUUCAUAGUUAUUUCAUGAAU